This is an unclassified non-coding RNA of Pongo abelii (Sumatran orangutan), 148 nucleotides long. It matches the Rfam family "Metazoan signal recognition particle RNA". Rfam says of the family: The signal recognition particle (SRP) is a universally conserved ribonucleoprotein. The record is from Ensembl. Lineage: Eukaryota; Metazoa; Chordata; Mammalia; Primates; Hominidae.
GCCAGACGUGGUGGCGCAUGCCUGUAAUCCCAGCUACUCAGGAGGCUGAGGCAGGAGAAUCGCUUGAACCUGGGAGGCUGAGGUGGUAGUGAGCUGAGAUCAUGCCACUGCACUCCAGCCUGGGUGACAGAGUGAGACUCAGUCUCAA